RNAcentral lists this ribosomal RNA (460 nucleotides) under uncultured bacterium. RNAcentral describes it as "partial 16S ribosomal RNA". It matches the Rfam family "Bacterial small subunit ribosomal RNA", at positions 338 to 795 of the family's 1533-position model. The record is from RNAcentral.
CCUACGGGAGGCAGCAGUGAGGAAUAUUGGUCAAUGGACGAGAGUCUGAACCAGCCAAGUAGCGUGAAGGAUGACUGCCCUAUGGGUUGUAAACUUCUUUUAUAUGGGACUAAAAUGUUCCACGUGUGGGAUUUUGUAUGUACCAUAUGAAUAAGGAUCGGCUAACUCCGUGCCAGCAGCCGCGGUAAUACGGAGGAUCCGAGCGUUAUACGGAUUUAUUGGGUUUAAAGGGAGCGUAGGUGGAUUGUUAAGUCAGUUGUGAAAGUUUGCGGCUCAACCGUAAAAUUGCAGUUGAAACUGGCAGUCUUGAGUACAGUAGAGGUGGGCGGAAUUCGUGGUGUAGCGGUGAAAUGCUUAGAUAUCACGAAGAACUCCGAUUGCGAAGGCAGUUCACUGGACUGCAACUGACACUGAGGCUCGAAAGUGUGGGUAUCAAACAGGAUUAGAUACCCGAGUAGUC